This 363-nucleotide ribosomal RNA is filed under the name Triticum aestivum (bread wheat). Its description in RNAcentral is "partial small subunit ribosomal RNA". Lineage: Eukaryota; Viridiplantae; Streptophyta; Magnoliopsida; Poales; Poaceae. The record is from RNAcentral.
AUGCAUGGUUCUUUUAAGCAUGCACUACUGCAGAUGCUGCUAACGCGACACUACGAUCAGAGACCCUUCGACGAAACUGUGUGCGAUGCAAUAAUCACGAACGGUGGUGUAAAAGAGCCGUCAAAAAAGGUGCAAAACGUUUGCGAUGGCGGAGCCAUCAAACACGGUUCAGAUUUUAGUUGCGUGUGCGAUCCAGGGCAUAUGGUUCAGUCCAAUGAACUGUUUGCGAUGAGGCGGAACAAAAGAAACGGGCAGCCUGAUGAAGGCGUGUGCGAUAUAGAGCAUACGGUUCACUCGAAUGAACUGUUUGUGAUCAGGCAACACAAAAGAAAUGGUCAGCCAGAUCAAAGUGUGUGUGAUUGA